GCAGCCGCCACGGUAAUGCGUAGGGUGCGAGCGUUAAUCGGAAUUACUGGGCGUAAAGCGUGCGCAGGCGGCUUUGCAAGACAGAUGUGAAAUCCCCGGGCUCAACCUGGGAACUGCAUUUGUGACUGCAAGGCUAGAGUGCGGCGGAGGGAGAUGGAAUUCCGCGUGUAGCAGUGAGAUGCGUAGAUAUGCGGAGGAACACCGAUGGCGAAGGCAAUCUCCUGGGCCUGCACUGACGCUCAUGCACGAAAGCGUGGGGAGCAAACAGGAUUAGAUACCCGUGUAGUCCCUGUCUCUUAUAA
RNAcentral lists this ribosomal RNA (302 nucleotides) under uncultured bacterium. Its description in RNAcentral is "partial 16S ribosomal RNA". It matches the Rfam family "Bacterial small subunit ribosomal RNA", at positions 508 to 809 of the family's 1533-position model. The record is from RNAcentral.